UAAAGCAUGAUACCGUAUUCAUUUAGGUCUUGAUCGUGUAACAUAUUCUCGAUCGCUACCGACCUUUUUCAAGAUAUGGCUUCCCUUCUCUUACGUCACCCACAGGUGGCAAUUGAUUUUGAAAAUGAUAAUUUCAAUGUACGUAAGACCAGCAAAUAUUUUUCUUAUAAAACAAUUGAUCAGACAAAAAAACUCAAAAUCAUACAAUUGUAAAGGGCGAUGUGUUGUCAUAGGUUUAACCGAAGACCCCAUUUAGACGUAUUAAUGGUAGCUGG
RNAcentral lists this long non-coding RNA (275 nucleotides) under Mytilus galloprovincialis (Mediterranean mussel). The record is from RNAcentral. Lineage: Eukaryota; Metazoa; Mollusca; Bivalvia; Mytilida; Mytilidae.